CUAAUUAACCAGCCAGAUUAGAAGGGUCUAGGAUUCCUUUGUAAGGCGCAGCAAAAAAAGACAAUCAGAUACAAUAUCAGGGAUCUUCCGGUAAGGCGUCUGGCUACCAUUAGUUUUGAAUACUGAGGAUUUGAGGAGAAAAAUGGCUGUGAGUUUUGAAAUGACUUUGAGAAUUUCUUGGAUUUGUUGCCUGCUAAUUGGAGGGAUAAACUGUUAUCCUCCACCUAAAGGUAAUUAUAGAUAUAUUCCCCAAAAUCAAUUAAAAGGAAUUGGCCACAAUGCAGCGGUAGCUACCAGCUCCCGUGCCUCGGCAGGUGAAGCUACCGGAUCCCGUGUCUCGGCAGGUGAAGCUACCGGAUCCCGAAGCAACUGGCCACAAUGCUUCAUCAAGCGCCACGACUGGCCCAA
This is a long non-coding RNA of Oncorhynchus tshawytscha (Chinook salmon), 408 nucleotides long. NCBI's taxonomy places the organism in Eukaryota, Metazoa, Chordata, Actinopteri, Salmoniformes, Salmonidae. The record is from Ensembl.